This 253-nucleotide ribosomal RNA is filed under the name uncultured bacterium. RNAcentral describes it as "partial 16S ribosomal RNA". It matches the Rfam family "Bacterial small subunit ribosomal RNA", at positions 524 to 777 of the family's 1533-position model. The record is from RNAcentral.
UACGAAGGGGGCUAGCGUUGCUCGGAAUCACUGGGCGUAAAGGGUGCGUAGGCGGGUCUUAAGUCAGGGGUGAAAUCCUGGAGCUCAACUCCAGAACUGCCUUCGAUACUGGCGAUCUCGAGUUCGGGAGAGGUGAGUGGAACUGCGAGUGUAGAGGUGAAAUUCGUAGAUAUUCGCAAGAACACCAGUGGCGAAGGCGGCUCACUGGCCCGAUACUGACGCUGAGGCACGAAAGCGUGGGGAGCAAACAGGG